GGACUACAAGGGUAUCUAAUCCUGUUUGAUCCCCACGCUUUAGUGCCUCAGCGUCAAUAAUAGUUUAGCGAGCUGCCUUCGCAAUUGGUGUUCUGUGUCAUAUCUAAGCAUUUCACCGCUACAUGACACAUUCCGCCCACCUCAACUAUAUUCAAGCUCAUCAGUAUCAAAGGCAGUUCCGGAGUUAAGCUCCGGGCUUUCACCUCUGACUUAAUAAGCCGCCUACGCACCCUUUAAACCCAAUAAAUCCGGAUAACGCUUGGAUCCUCCGUAUUACCGCGGCUGCUGGCAC
Molecule: ribosomal RNA, 292 nt
Filed under: uncultured Bacteroidota bacterium
Lineage: Bacteria; Pseudomonadati; Bacteroidota
Description: uncultured Bacteroidetes bacterium partial 16S ribosomal RNA
Source: RNAcentral